GCAGGCGCGUAAAUUACCCAAUUCUGACACAGAGAGGUAGUGACAAUAAAUAACAAUAGAUGGCUUUUUAAGUCGUCUAAUUGGAAUGAGAACAAUUUAAACCCCUUAUCGAGGAUCAAUUGGAGGGCAAGUCUGGUGCCAGCAGCCGCGGUAAUUCCAGCUCCAAUAGCGUAUAUUAAAGUUGUUGCAGUUAAAAAGCUCGUAGUUGGAUUUCUGGUGGGAGAUGCGAGUCGUUCCUUAAUUGGUUUGUACUUUGCAAUCUCCGGCCAUCUUUAAGUGGAACUAGUCUUGCAUUAGGUUGCAGGGCUAUGGAUACUUAUCUUUUACUGUGAAUAAAUUAGAGUGUUCAAAGCAGGCAUUUGCCGUGAAUAUACUAGCAUGGAAUAAUAAUAUAGGACUUUGGUACUAUUUUGUUGGUUUGCGCACCAAAGUAAUAAUUAAUAGGGACAGUUGGGGGUAUUUGUAUUUGGUCGUCAGAGGUGAAAUUCUUGGAUUGACUAAAGACAAACUACUGCGAAAGCAUUUACCAAGGAUGUUUUCAUUAAUCAAGAACGAAAGUUAGGGGAUCGAAGAUGAUUAGAUACCAUCGUAGUCUUAACCAUAAACUAUGCCGACUAGGGAUCAGCGAACAAUGUUUUUAGUUUUCGCUGGCACCUUAUGAGAAAUCAAAGUCUUUGGGUUCCGGGGGGAGUAUGGUC
This 698-nucleotide ribosomal RNA is filed under the name Thalassiosira rotula. RNAcentral describes it as "SSU rRNA". It matches the Rfam family "Eukaryotic small subunit ribosomal RNA", at positions 428 to 1130 of the family's 1831-position model. Lineage: Eukaryota; Bacillariophyta; Thalassiosirophyceae; Thalassiosirales; Thalassiosiraceae. The record is from RNAcentral.